GUUACUUCUUACGAAAAUGCUCCUAUAAUCGCUUCGAAGUAUUAGGAGAGCAGAAACGUCAGAAUAUAUAUAUGAAAGUGCAAUAUUAUUCGUGCACAAUGUAUGGUGUGACUAUUACGAAUUCAAAUAACCUUAAUGUGCUUAUAACUUGUAAGGAAACAAGAAAGAAAAAAUUAAAUGAAAUAUAUUAUUGAUGAAUUAUGUAAAGGCAUACCAUUAGUUUUAUUUAACUGUCUUCUCAGAAAUAUACAUUAAACAGAAAAACAGAGAUGAUGAGUAGAAGAUUGAUGUUAUGGAUUCUUGCACUGUUGCAAGUAUACAUACUUUGGAGAAUAAUAAUUGUUCGGGAUGCUAACAGGAUUGUCCCUGUACUUCAGAGAUAACAAGACAAGUCUGAUACAUAUAUUAAUAGAAAUGCAUUUAUGCUGAUUUCCAAAUGAUGAUGUCUUUAAAAAUGUAAAUAUAGGAACUUCCAAGAAUCCAGAACGAUGUGUCUAUCCAUAUUUUUCGUGUCUGCAAUGGAUCAUGCUGUGCAUUUUCUGUGUUUAGAACUUAAGAUGGAUCGCCUCCAAUGCAUACUAUAGGAGUACCUUUAACUGUAACUAACCUAUGAAGCACAAUUAACGAAGAUGAAAUAUCUGAGCAUGAACAUUAUAAUGAUAUAGAAAACAAAUUGCCUUCGUACCUUUGAGAAAAAAUGAAAUGUCCGUGUCAAUAGUUAAAACUUAAUUUUAGCUAUGUAUGAUUUUCUUUAUAUUGACUUUUUAUCAAAAGUAUUUCUUGUAGAUUACUUUAUAUAAUUUUUUAUCAACUGUUUGAAACUUACAACAGAAGUUUUUAUACAACUUAUGAUAAUCAAUAUAAUACGUAGCAAUAAAUAUAAUAUGUAGCAAUAAACUUAAGAUUUUGUAAUGAUGAUUUAGAUUUGAAAUAUCUAAUUUUUAUCAAUUAUAGAACGCACAUUCAACUUCUGUUAGCAAGUUUUUGAAGCUGCUAUUUCUAGAUUAACAGGCUAAUGAUGCUGGCUUCUUUUUGAAUUAUUAAAUUCUACACUUAAUACAAAGCAUAAUGAGUUUGCUAAAAUGUAGCAA
Molecule: long non-coding RNA, 1091 nt
Organism: Ctenocephalides felis (cat flea)
Lineage: Eukaryota; Metazoa; Arthropoda; Insecta; Siphonaptera; Pulicidae
Exons: 4
Source: RefSeq, a predicted model, not a curated record